This 351-nucleotide ribosomal RNA is filed under the name uncultured Comamonas sp. Its description in RNAcentral is "bacterial SSU rRNA". It matches the Rfam family "Bacterial small subunit ribosomal RNA", at positions 1028 to 1382 of the family's 1533-position model. The record is from RNAcentral. Lineage: Bacteria; Pseudomonadati; Pseudomonadota; Betaproteobacteria; Burkholderiales; Comamonadaceae.
GCUAGUACAGGUGGUGCAUGGCUGUCGUCAGCUCGUGUCGUGAGAUCGUUGGGUUAAGUCCCGCAACGAGCGCAACCUUACCUUAGUUGUUUCCCGAAAGGAUUACCCUCUAAGGGGACUGCCCCGGACAACGGGAGGAAGGUGGGGAUGACGUCAAGUCCUCAUGGCCCUUAUAGGUGGGGCUACACACGUCAUACAAUGGCUGGUACAAAGGGUUGCCAACCCGCGAGGGGGAGCCAAUCCCAUAAAGCCAGUCGUAGUCCGGAUCGCAGUCUGCAACUCGACUGCGUGAAGUCGGAAUCGCUAGUAAUCGUGGAUCAGCAUGUCACGGUGAAUACGUUCCCGGGUCUU